CCAGAACUGUGGCCAUCUCCUC
Molecule: non-coding RNA, 22 nt
Filed under: Arabidopsis thaliana (thale cress)
Lineage: Eukaryota; Viridiplantae; Streptophyta; Magnoliopsida; Brassicales; Brassicaceae
Source: RNAcentral